GAUGAACGCUAGCGACAGGCUUAACACAUGCAAGUCGAGGGGCAGCAUAAAAGUAGCAAUACUUUGGUGGCGACCGGCGCACGGGUGAGUAACGCGUAUGCAACCUACCUAUCAGAGGGGAAUAACCCGGCGAAAGUCGGACUAAUACCGCAUAAAACAGGGGCACCGCAUGGUGAUAUUUGUUAAAGAAAUUCGCUGAUAGAUGGGCAUGCGUUCCAUUAGGUAGUUGGUGAGGUAACGGCUCACCAAGCCGACGAUGGAUAGGGGAACUGAGAGGUUGGUCCCCCACACUGGUACUGAGACACGGACCAGACUCCUACGGGAGGCAGCAGGUGAGGAAUAUUGGUCAAUGGGCGGGAGCCUGAACCAGCCAAGUCGCGUGAAGGAAGAAGGAUCUAUGGUUCGUAAACUUCUUUGCAGGGGAAUAAAGUGCAGGACGUGUCCUUGUUUUGUAUGUACCCUGAGAAUAAGGAUCGGCUAACUCCGUGCCAGCAGCCGCGGUAAACAUAC
RNAcentral lists this ribosomal RNA (510 nucleotides) under uncultured bacterium. RNAcentral describes it as "bacterial SSU rRNA". It matches the Rfam family "Bacterial small subunit ribosomal RNA", at positions 28 to 526 of the family's 1533-position model. The record is from RNAcentral.